Molecule: long non-coding RNA, 592 nt
Filed under: Nicotiana benthamiana
Lineage: Eukaryota; Viridiplantae; Streptophyta; Magnoliopsida; Solanales; Solanaceae
Description: long non-coding RNA (NBEN_LNC037854)
Source: RNAcentral
UGUUUAGGGUAUGGUUGGGGAAAGAAACGGACAGAGACUAUCUGAGAUGAGCCGGACAAAAUUCCGACAGGGUUGAGUUUUAGGGUUGAACUUCGAAUUAAUAUUCGACAAGUUUUGACUGGAUUCGAAGGGUGUGAUACAUAUGGUUGGAAAGAGGAGGUUGAGUUGUUUCAGGGGUGUAAGUUAGGAGGGGUUUGGAGUUGGGUUGCCAUAGAUGGGGGUUUCCGACGACCUUUCUGUGAAUAUUUGAGACGAUGGGGGGUUAUUUGAAGGGAAAGGAUUGCAGAAUGGGGAAGGGGAGGUCCUGGUGGUCCUAUGGUGUAAAGCUGGGGAGGUUUGGAGCAAGGUCGCCAGAGACGGUGGUUCCGACGACCUUAUUUUGAAUAUUCGAGACGGAGGAGACCUAUUCGACGGAAACUAAUCACAGGAUGGGAAAGAAGAGGUGGUGAUGGUUUGAUGGUGUAAAUCUGGGGAGGUUUGGUGACCGGCUACCGCCGUGAGGCGAUUUCCGGCGGCGACGUUAGGGUGGUAUGCGGGUGGUCAAGGAGUGGUCAAGGGCGGUGUUAUGUCGGGAGUGGACUGUAAGAGGAAG